This 210-nucleotide long non-coding RNA is filed under the name Elaeis guineensis (African oil palm). RNAcentral's name for it is "long non-coding RNA (EGUI_LNC034799)". Lineage: Eukaryota; Viridiplantae; Streptophyta; Magnoliopsida; Arecales; Arecaceae. The record is from RNAcentral.
AUGAUGAUUCAAACUUAAUUAAUGGAUAUUGAAGGGAAUAGCUUCACAGAUUGCUAUGGGCUCUUUUUUUUAUUCCUAUAUAAUGUCUAAAAUCUAAUGGGUGUCGAUAGAUUUUGCUUGCUAUAUUCUUAUGAUUGUUCUCUUAUUUUUUCUGAUGAUGAUUCAAACUUAAUUAAUAGAUAUUGAAGGAAAUGGCUCUAUAGAUUGCUG